This 30-nucleotide non-coding RNA is filed under the name Cricetulus griseus (Chinese hamster). The record is from RNAcentral. Lineage: Eukaryota; Metazoa; Chordata; Mammalia; Rodentia; Cricetidae.
CAUGCCAGAGUAACUGGAGAGACUUUGACA